UACGGGGGGAGCAAGCGUUGUUCGGAUUUACUGGGCGUAAAGGGCGCGUAGGCGGCCACCGCGAGUCGACUGUGAAAUCUCCGGGCUUAACCCGGAAAGGUCAGCCGAUACUGCGGGGCUAGAGUGCAGAAGGGGCAACUGGAAUUCUCGGUGUAGCGGUGAAAUGCGUAGAUAUCGAGAGGAACACCUGCGGCGAAGGCGGGUUGCUGGGCUGACACUGACGCUGAGGCGCGAAAGCGUGGGGAGCAAACAGG
This 254-nucleotide ribosomal RNA is filed under the name uncultured bacterium. RNAcentral's name for it is "partial 16S ribosomal RNA". It matches the Rfam family "Bacterial small subunit ribosomal RNA", at positions 524 to 776 of the family's 1533-position model. The record is from RNAcentral.